This 1313-nucleotide ribosomal RNA is filed under the name Sarima sp. NS-2013. RNAcentral describes it as "SSU rRNA". It matches the Rfam family "Eukaryotic small subunit ribosomal RNA", at positions 445 to 1668 of the family's 1831-position model. The record is from RNAcentral. Lineage: Eukaryota; Metazoa; Arthropoda; Insecta; Hemiptera; Issidae.
CCACUCCCGGCACGGGGAGGUAGUGACGAAAAAUAACGAUACGGGACUCAUCCGAGGCCCCGUAAUCGGAAUGAGUAUACUCUAAAUCCUUAUACGAGUAUCAAUUGGAGGGCAAGUCUGGUGCCAGCAGCCGCGGUAAUUCCAGCUCCAAUAGCGUAUAUUAAAGUUGUUGCGGUUAAAAAGCUCGUAGUUGGAUCUGUGUCCCGCACCGUCGGUUCACCGCCUGUCGGUGUUCAACUGUCGUGUAUGCGGAACGUCCUGCCGGUGGCGGUCCGGUGCCCCGUCGGUACGUAGGGGUCGUCCUUGCUUCGCUUGCGUCGUCCCCGAAGGCCUUCGUGGUGUCUCCGGCCGCCUUUAUAUCCCGUCGCGGUGCUCUUCACCGAGUGUCGAGGCGGGCCGGCACGUUUACUUUGAACAAAUUAGAGUGCUUUAAGCAGGCCCUGUCCCGCCUGUAUGUUGUGUGCAUGGAAUAAUGGAAUAGGACCUCGGUUCUAUUUUGUUGGUUUUCGGAAUCUGAGGUAAUGAUCAAUGGGGACAGGCGGGGGCAUUCGUAUUGCGACGUUAGAGGUGAAAUUCUUGGAUCGUCGCAAGACGGACCGAAGCGAAAGCAUUUGCCAAGUAUGUUCUCGUCGAUCAAGAACGAAAGUUAGAGGUUCGAAGGCGAUCAGAUACCGCCCUAGUUCUAACCAUAAACUAUGCCUGCCAGCGAUCCGCCGAAGUUCCUCCGAUGACUCGGCGGGCAGCUUCCGGGAAACCAGAGCUUUUGGGUUCCGGGGGAAGUAUGGUUGCAAAGCUGAAACUUAAAGGAAUUGACGGAAGGGCACCACCAGGAGUGGAGCCUGCGGCUUAAUUUGACUCAACACGGGAAAACUCACCAGGCCCGGACACCGGAAGGAUUGACAGAUUGAGAGCUCUUUCUUGAUUCGGUGGGUGGUGGUGCAUGGCCGUUCUUAGUUGGUGGAGCGAUUUGUCUGGUUAAUUCCGAUAACGAACGAGACUCUAGCCUACUAACUAGGCGUACCCGGUAUCCACAAUCGUGCUACCGGCGAUCAUAUUUCUUCUUAGAGGGACAGGCGGCUUCUAGCCGCACGAGACUGAGCAAUAACAGGUCUGUGAUGCCCUUAGAUGUCCUGGGCCGCACGCGCGCUACACUGAAGGAAUCAGCGUGUCUUCCCUGUCCGAAAGGACCGGGUAACCCGCUGAACCUCCUUUGUGCUAGGGAUUGGGGCUUGCAAUUGUUCCCCAUGAACGAGGAAUUCCCAGUAAGCGCGAGUCAUAAGCUCGCGUUGAUUACGUCCCUGCCCUUGUACACA